UUCCAGGUGUCCACAUUCACUAAUCAGGACAGAACACCAAAACUCACCAUGGACUUUGUGCUUGGCUGGGUUUUCCUUGUUGCUCUUUUAAAAGGUGUCCAGUGUGAGGUGCAGCUGGUGGAGUCUGGGGGAGACCUGGUGAAGCCUGGGGGGUCCCUGAGACUCUCCUGUGCAGUCUCUGGAUUCACCUUCAGUAGUACUGGCAUGAGUUGGAUCCGCCAGACUCCAGGGAAGGGGCUGCAGUGGGACGCAAGUAUUAGCUAUGAUGGAAGUAACACAUUCUACGCAGACUCUGUGAAGGGCCGAUUCACCAUCUCCAGAGACAACGGCAAGAACACGCUGUAUCUGCAGAUGGACAGCCUGAGAACUGAGGACACAGCCGUGUAUUUCUGUGCAGGAUCUUACUAGCUGUUUG
Lutra lutra (Eurasian river otter) is the source of this 415-nucleotide non-coding RNA. Lineage: Eukaryota; Metazoa; Chordata; Mammalia; Carnivora; Mustelidae. The record is from the annotation of a RefSeq genome assembly.